AGGACGAACGCUGGCGGCGUGCUUAACACAUGCAAGUCGAGCGGAAAGGCCCUUCGGGGUACUCGAGCGGCGAACGGGUGAGUAACACGUGAGCAACCUGCCCUUAGCUUCGGGAUAGCUCCGGGAAACCGGAAUUAAUACCGAAUAUGACUUUGGCUGACAUCAGCAGAAGUGGAAAGUUUUUCGGCUAGGGAUGGACUCGCGGCCUAUCAGCUAGUUGGUGAGGUAACGGCCCACCAAGGCGACGACGGGUAGCCGGCCUGAGAGGGCGACCGGCCACACUGGGACUGAGACACGGCCCAGACUCCUACGGGAGGCAGCAGUGGGGAAUAUUGCGCAAUGGGCGAAAGCCUGACGCAGCGACGCCGCGUGGGGGAUGAAUGCCUUCGGGUUGUAACCCCUUUCAGCAGGGACGAAGCGAAAGUGACGGUACCUGCAGAAGAAGCGCCGGCUAACUACGCGCCAGCAGCCGC
RNAcentral lists this ribosomal RNA (473 nucleotides) under uncultured bacterium. RNAcentral describes it as "SSU rRNA". It matches the Rfam family "Bacterial small subunit ribosomal RNA", at positions 26 to 518 of the family's 1533-position model. The record is from RNAcentral.